GACGAACGCUGGCGGCGUGCUUAACACAUGCAAGUCGAACGAAGAGCGAUGGAAGCUUGCUCCUAUCAAUCUUAGUGGCGCACGUGUGAGUAACGCGUAAUCAACCUGCCCUUCAGAGGGGGACAACAGUUGGAAACGACUGCUAAUACCGCAUACGAUCUAAUCUCGGCAUCGAGGAUAGAUGAAAGGUGGUCCUUACAUGUAAGCUAUCACUGAAGGAGGGGAUUGGGUCUGAUUAGCUAGUUGGAGGAGUAACCGCCCAACAAAGCGAGGCUUAGUAGGCGGUCUGGAGAGGUGGACGGCCACAAUGGGACUGAGACAAGGCCCAAGAUCCUACGGGGGGCAGCAAUGGGGGAUCUUCCGGAAAUGACGGAAAGCUGGCGGGGCAACCCCGGGUGGAUGAAGGAAGGCUUCGGGUUGUAAAACUCUGUUAAUCGGGGAGAAAGGACUUCUUACGAAUAGAGGGAAGGAUUGACGGUACCGAAACAGAAAGCCACGGCUAACUACGUG
RNAcentral lists this ribosomal RNA (510 nucleotides) under uncultured bacterium. Its description in RNAcentral is "partial 16S ribosomal RNA". It matches the Rfam family "Bacterial small subunit ribosomal RNA", at positions 28 to 507 of the family's 1533-position model. The record is from RNAcentral.